This 272-nucleotide ribosomal RNA is filed under the name uncultured Staphylococcus sp. RNAcentral describes it as "partial 16S ribosomal RNA". It matches the Rfam family "Bacterial small subunit ribosomal RNA", at positions 90 to 356 of the family's 1533-position model. Lineage: Bacteria; Bacillati; Bacillota; Bacilli; Caryophanales; Staphylococcaceae. The record is from RNAcentral.
CGUUAGCGGCGGACGGGUGAGUAACACGUGGGUGACCUACCUAUAAGACUGGGAUAACUCCGGGAAACCGGGGCUAAUACCGGAUAACACAUGAAACCGCAUGGUUUCAUGAUGAAAGACGGUUUUGCUGUCACUUAUAGAUGGACCCGCGGCGUAUUAGCUAGUUGGUAAGGUAACGGCUUACCAAGGCAACGAUACGUAGCCGACCUGAGAGGGUGAUCGGCCACACUGGAACUGAGACACGGUCCAGACUCCUACGGGAGGCAGCAGCG